UGCAGCAAUAUCUACUUGCUCGGAGGAGCCUGUCGCUACCCGAUCUGCGGUGCCUACCAGAUUUGCGCGCGCAUGCGCACGCAUGCGCAGAGCUUAACUUUACGACCUUGCACGAUCUGCGUUUUUUUUACUUUGCGACACGAGUCCCCAUCCGAUUUGUCUCGUGCACGCGCUCUCUGCUUAAUUAAAAUUCAUUUCAUGACACUGCCCGAUUUGUUCUGCGCAUGUCGAAUGUUUUACGACACACGAGAAAUAAGGUUACCAUGGGAUUUUAAUUUGUCGGUCUGCAUUAACAAAUAGAACUUCCGCCAUUCGAGUGAGAAGGACAAAGAAGAACGCUGUAAAGAAUAGGAGCAUAUUGAAUUUUUUUCCUGGCAGAAGAAUAUUUUUCACUUCUUGAAAAAAUGAAGACUUUUCAAUUUUACAACGACUUGAAAGAAUAUCUUUUACGGGAAGAAUUUAGCAACAAUUUAACGGUCAGAGAGCGAAGUGAAAUACGACGUGUGUCCGUGAAUUUUAUGAUUAAAGUCCAUCAUCCAUGCCCUGGCUGCUCAACAGGGUGUAUCUGGACAGGAGGCAGAAGACUUAUUUCUUGGUGGCCCAGAAUACAGUAUCAGUGAUGCCCUUUGCCCUGCACCCUGGUCAAGUCUUGUGCAACUGACUGUGGUGCUGAAGAGAGAAGAUUUCUGAAGACCCUCUUGAAAUGGAGCUGCAAUUGGAUUAACACUACAACAGUGUGCUUGGUGAGAAUGUCCACAGGGGCCUGGGGAGGCUGUGACCUUGUGACCCUGAGACGUUGUUUUGUCAAACAUCCUGACCAACUUGACCUUUUUGUGUUCUUCAACAGGGCCAUCUGACCAUCAGAUAUAUUUAAGGAGUAGGACCUUUCAAUUUUUCUGUUGUGUACUUUUUAAUUGUGUAUAUAUAUAUUUUCGUUUUCACAAAGUUAUAUAUAUUUGUUAAGCAGUUUAGCAGUUUGGGCUUUAUUAGUAUUAAAAUAUGUUAGAGAAGUUAUUUGUGGAAUAAUUUUAAUGAUCAAAAUAGCAAAAAAAUGUAACUUUAAAUUUUCUGUGCUCUGGGUAAAAUAUGUUAAAGCU
Molecule: long non-coding RNA, 1097 nt
Organism: Erpetoichthys calabaricus (reedfish)
Lineage: Eukaryota; Metazoa; Chordata; Cladistia; Polypteriformes; Polypteridae
Exons: 3
Source: RefSeq, a predicted model, not a curated record